UACGGAGGGUGCGAGCGUUAAUCGGAAUUACUGGGCGUAAAGCGUGCGUAGGUGGUUGAAUAAGUUAUCUGUGAAAUUCCCGGGCUCAACCUGGGACGGUCAGGUAAGACUGUUUGACUCGAGUAUGGGAGAGGGUAGUGGAAUUUCCGGUGUAGCGGUGAAAUGCGUAGAGAUCGGAAGGAACACCGGUGGCGAAGGCGGCUACCUGGCCUAAUACUGACACUGAGGCACGAAAGCGUGGGGAGCAAACAGG
RNAcentral lists this ribosomal RNA (253 nucleotides) under uncultured bacterium. RNAcentral's name for it is "partial 16S ribosomal RNA". It matches the Rfam family "Bacterial small subunit ribosomal RNA", at positions 524 to 776 of the family's 1533-position model. The record is from RNAcentral.